Molecule: non-coding RNA, 72 nt
Organism: Paenibacillus sp. MAEPY2
Lineage: Bacteria; Bacillati; Bacillota; Bacilli; Caryophanales; Paenibacillaceae
Source: Rfam
CGGGAAGUAGCUGAAAUAGAUUAGCGGCGGCGUGAAAUACCGUAGAUGUUGGUGCGUUACCAACCUUUCCGA